CAGUAGGGAAUAUUGGGCAAUGGCCGCGAGGCUGACCCAGCCAUGCCGCGUGCAGGAAGAAGGCCUUCUGGGUUGUAAACUGCUUUUAUAUGGGAAGAAAACGCCCCUGCGGGGGUAACUGACGGUACCAUAUGAAUAAGCACCGGCUAACUCCGUGCCAGCCGCCG
This 167-nucleotide ribosomal RNA is filed under the name Pontibacter sp. RNAcentral's name for it is "partial 16S ribosomal RNA". It matches the Rfam family "Bacterial small subunit ribosomal RNA", at positions 352 to 517 of the family's 1533-position model. The record is from RNAcentral. Lineage: Bacteria; Pseudomonadati; Bacteroidota; Cytophagia; Cytophagales; Hymenobacteraceae.